RNAcentral lists this long non-coding RNA (446 nucleotides) under Equus caballus (horse). Its description in RNAcentral is "lncRNA (ENSECAG00000053566.1)". Lineage: Eukaryota; Metazoa; Chordata; Mammalia; Perissodactyla; Equidae. The record is from RNAcentral.
CAAUUUUUCCUGCAUUUAACCAAUAAUUUGGGGACGAUCUUCAAGGAUAGCGUAGAAUUUUCUGUGCAUUCUCUAAUGGGUGAUUGUCAUGGUAACUAUUCCCUAUGUCAGUGGUCCUAGAACCUUAGUGUGCUUCACAAUCACCUGGAGGCUUGUUAAAGUACGGAUUUGUUGGGCCCCACCCUCAGAAUUAGACAUUUGUAUCUCUAACAAGCCCCUGGUGAUCCUAAGGCCCAUGCUCAGGGACCACACUUUAAGAAUCACUGCCCUAAAUGGUAACCAGGAGGAAGCACAGUAAGGAAAAGUGAGGAUGAAAUCUUUAUUUUCUGUUUCAAUUGGACAUAGCGUCAGACGUAGAGGUCUUUCUUAUAUGAGUCUGGAUGGAUGCACGAAAUUGAUGAGUACACCAGAGAGGGAACUGGCCACUUCUUUCCUUUUGUGUCUCC